RNAcentral lists this transfer RNA (88 nucleotides) under Methanocella conradii HZ254. RNAcentral's name for it is "tRNA-Arg". Lineage: Archaea; Methanobacteriati; Methanobacteriota; Methanomicrobia; Methanocellales; Methanocellaceae. The record is from RNAcentral.
GGACUCGUGGGGUAGCCAGGAUAUCCUACCGGGCUUCGGACUUCCAGGAAGAGACCCGGCGACCCGCGUUCAAAUCGCGGCGAGUCCG